AGAGUUUGAUCAUGGCUCAGAACGAACGCUGGCGGCAGGCUUAACACAUGCAAGUCGAGCGCUGUAGCAAUACAGAGCGGCGCACGGGUGAGUAACACGUGGGAACGUGCCCUAUGGUUCGGAAUAACUCAGGGAAACUUGAGCUAAUACCGGAUAAGCCCUUACGGGGAAAGAUUUAUCGCCAUUGGAGCGGCCCGCGUCCGAUUAGCUAGUUGGUGAGGUAAAAGCUCACCAAGGCGACGAUCGGUAGCUGGUCUGAGAGGACGACCAGCCACACUGGGACUGAGACACGGCCCAGACUCCUACGGGAGGCAGCAGUGGGGAAUCUUGGACAAUGGGGGAAACCCUGAUCCAGCCAUGCCGCGUGAGUGAUGAAGGCCCUAGGGUUGUAAAACUCUUUCGGCGGGGACGAUAAUGACGGUACCCGCAGAAGAAGCUCCGGCUAACUUCGUGCCAGCAGCCGCGGUAAUACGAAGGGGGCUAGCGUUGUUCGGAAUUACUGGGCGUAAAGCGCGCGCAGGCGGUCCUUCAAGUCAGAGGUGAAAGCCCAGAGCUCAACUCUGGAACGGCCUUUGAGACUAGAGGACUUGGGUACGGGAGAGGUGAGUGGAAUUCCGAGUGUAGAGGUGAAAUUCGUAGAUAUUCGGAAGAACACCAGUGGCGAAGGCGGCUCACUGGCCCGUUACCGACGCUCAGGCGCGACAGCGUGGGGAGCAAACAGGAUUAGAUACCCCCGUAGUCC
Molecule: ribosomal RNA, 742 nt
Filed under: uncultured bacterium
Lineage: Bacteria
Description: bacterial SSU rRNA
Rfam family: Bacterial small subunit ribosomal RNA
Source: RNAcentral